GAUGAACGCUGGCGGCGUGCUUAACACAUGCAAGUCGAACGAAACACCUUAUUUGAUUUUCUUCGGAACUGAAGAUUUGGUGAUUGAGUGGCGGACGGGUGAGUAACGCGUGGGUAACCUGCCCUGUACAGGGGGAUAACAGUCAGAAAUGACUGCUAAUACCGCAUAAGACCACAGCACCGCAUGGUGCAGGGGUAAAAACUCCGGUGGUACAGGAUGGACCCGCGUCUGAUUAGCUGGUUGGUGAGGUAACGGCGCACCAAGGCGACGAUCAGUAGCCGGCUUGAGAGAGUGAACGGCCACAUUGGGACUGAGACACGGCCCAAACUCCUACGGGAGGCAGCAGUGGGGAAUAUUGCACAAUGGGGGAAACCCUGAUGCAGCGACGCCGCGUGAGUGAAGAAGUAUUUCGGUAUGUAAAGCUCUAUCAGCAGGGAAGAAAAUGACGGUACCUGACUAAGAAGCCCCGGCUAACUACGUG
RNAcentral lists this ribosomal RNA (481 nucleotides) under uncultured bacterium. RNAcentral's name for it is "partial 16S ribosomal RNA". It matches the Rfam family "Bacterial small subunit ribosomal RNA", at positions 28 to 507 of the family's 1533-position model. The record is from RNAcentral.